GACGUUACCUACAGAAGAAGCACCGGCUAACUCCGUGCCAGCAGCCGCGGUAAUACGGAGGGUGCGAGCGUUAAUCGGAAUUACUGGGCGUAAAGCGCAUGCAGGCGGCCUGUUAAGUCAGAUGUGAAAGACCCGGGGCGUUAACCUCGGAAUUGCAUUUGAAACUGGCAGGCUAGAGUCUUGUAGAGGGGGGUAGGAAUUUCUAGGUGUAGCGGUGAAAUGCGUAGAGAUCUGAAGGAAUACCAGUGGCGAAGGCGGCCCCCCUGGACAAAGACUGACGCUCAGAUGCGAAAGCGUGGGGAGCAAACAGGAUUAGAUACCCCUGGUAG
RNAcentral lists this ribosomal RNA (329 nucleotides) under uncultured bacterium. Its description in RNAcentral is "bacterial SSU rRNA". It matches the Rfam family "Bacterial small subunit ribosomal RNA", at positions 471 to 793 of the family's 1533-position model. The record is from RNAcentral.